Long non-coding RNA from Neofelis nebulosa (Clouded leopard), 11351 nucleotides. RefSeq lists it as uncharacterized. The transcript has 3 exons. The record is from RefSeq and is a predicted model, not a curated record. Lineage: Eukaryota; Metazoa; Chordata; Mammalia; Carnivora; Felidae.
GGCAAAAUCUCUGAGCCAGGGCUCUAGAGUUGGGGGUGAGGACUAUGCUGAGCUUCUGAGUAACAUUGUUAUUUUUUAGGAGCUGAGCCCUAGGGUUGAGAUGGGGGCAGUAGGCUGAGAUCUCUGUCUCUCCUGCCAUGGAAGCACUGCUUCCUGAGCCAGGAGAGGGCUGUUGGGCCCCCAGUAUUCGCAACACAUUCCUACCCAAGGUAGAGCCUCCAUUCCAUGAGUGGAAGCUGGGUGCAAGAAAGGAACUGUACUUCUCUGUCCACACUUAACCUGGAUUAGCUUCCUCAGCAACAGACAGCUGGAAGAAGCUGAGAAAUGCUGAAGUCCUGCUCCUAUGGGAAGAAAGCCCUCUGGCUGGGAACUGAGAAAGGAUGGAGUCUGGUGUCCUUGGUUGCAACAGUCUAGAGUGGAACCACCCUCUCUGCUCUGGAAGAGGGGAGGGAAGGAGUGGUUUUGGUGCAAGUACCGUAGACUCUAGCCUUUUUUACUUAAUUUUCAGUUUCCUUGAAUAGAUGUUUCUUCAUUCAUUAUUUGCUCUAAGGACCAUUUUCAGAAGAUUUAGCUGUUUUUAAAAUAAUUUUCACCAGUUUUACUGGGAAUCAGGUCAGUGUGUUGCAGGAUUUUUUAUUUACCUCAAUACCUGGAUUCGUUGUCUCACCACUUUGAAGAAUGAAGAGGAGGACACAAAGUGACCAGCAGGCAAAAGGUUAUUAGAGUAUAAGAUUAAAAGUAAAAGUAGUAUGAAAGCUCUCUUUACAGAAAGGGACCAUUUGAAAGUGAAUGCCAGCCGACUAUUGGCAAGGGUCCUUGUUUUAUAAGGUUUUGGUUAGCCUUCCCCUUCCCCCUGUUCCCUCUCAGGUCCCACCCUUAUUGGCUUGAUAGUUCUAGGUGCUGGGUGGUCCAUUUCUGAUUGUCUCUAUUCUAUUGUAUGAGGGGUGGCUAUUGGUCAUAGUUAGGUCUUUUGUCAAAUUCCUAAGGGAAACCUGGAGGGGGGAGUAGAUGGUGUCUGUUACAUUCUUAAGUGGAACCUUACUGGUGAGGGGGUUUGCUGUGAUCAGACACUCCUAGAAUUGUUCCAAAUAUGCAUUUUUCCCCACCCAGGGACUUCAGGUCCUAAUCUUUCCCUCUUGCCUACUAAUCCUAUCUUUUCCUAUCAUAAGUGGAACUCCUUAUAAUGUCAUCCUUACAGUUCAGUUCUUCUAAUAUCUCCUCUUUACCUUAGUUUUGUUUUAACAUGGUAUUGAUUGUGAUUUUCCUUUCUAGCAAAUUAAUUGUAUAGAAGUUGAAAUGCUAGUUUUGAAUACAUUUGCUACACUAAGUAUAUGCUACUAGAAUUGUAUACAUAAAUGUAAAUUAUAUUUAAAAUAUAGGCACAUGAGAAUUUACCUGCCUAGAAAUUAUGAAGAAUCUUUUUGAGUUUAAUGAAGGUCUUGCAUUAAUAGAUAGCAAAGCAGGUAAAGAAUUUAGGUUCUGUGUAGCUUACUAGAUUUCAAUAUAUUUCUGUAAUCCCAUUUCUUUUCCAGAUGUCUUUUUUUUUUUUUUUUUUUUAGUUUUUAAACUAUUACCAGGUUAUUGUUUAUUCACACACAUAACAGAUAUUUAAUGAGCACAUAAUGCGUGUGAGGCAUGGAUCUAGGUGCUGGGACUGUAGUGGUGAACAACCAGACCAAAAUUUGGCUCUUAUAGAGGUUAUAUUUUAGUGGAGAAGACAGAUAAACAUAUACAUAAUUUUAGGUAGUAGUAUAUGCUGUAAAUAAACACAAAGCAGUAUAUUGACAUAGAGAGUGAUGGGCAGUGAGGAUAGGAGACUAUUUUGGACGUAUUAGUUAAAAAAGACUUCUUGGGGCACCUGGGUGGCAUAGUCGGUUAAGUGUCAGACUUCCGUUUAGGUCAUUAUCUCAUAGUUCAUUGAGUUCGAGCUCCUCUUUGGGCUCUUUGCUGUCAGCGUGGAGCCUGCUUUGGAUCCUGCUUUGGAUCCUCUGUCCUCCACUCUCUCUGCCCCUCCCCGGUUCACACUUGCACGUGUACAUGUUCUUUCUCUCUCUCUCAAAAAUAAACAUUAAAAAUACAUAUAUAUAAAAAUAUUUUUAAAAAAAAGACUUGUCUGAGGAGGUAUUGAGUUUAGAAUUGAAUGAAGUAUGAGAACAAUGUGAAUUGCCAUGUGAAUAAUCUGGAAAGGGAGUUACAGGCAAAGGGAACAGCAAGUUCAAAAGCCCUGAGGCAGAGUAAGUUUGGUGUGUUCAAGGAAAAGCAGGGAGGCCACUGGAGCUAUAGCACAACAUAGUGUAGCAUGAUGAGGGGUUUAGUGGAGAGAGACGAGGUUUAAGAGGUUGGUUGGCCCUGGAUUGUGUAUGAUUUUGCAAAGAGAUGGAUUUUAUUCCAAACACGAUAGGAAGCCUUGGGAAAAUUUUGAGCAGGGUUAUUGCAUACUCUGGUACAUGAUCUGUCAAUAAGGUAACUACAUAGUGGAAUUAUAUUUAGUGGUAGAUUAUAUUUAAAACAUAGCCAUAGGAGAAUUUCAAUGCCUAGAAAUUGUAAGGAGACUGUCUUCAGUUUUAUCAGUAUUCUUGUGUUAAUUAGUAUGCAUGCAGGAAAGAACUUAGGUUCUAUACAGUUUAUUGAUCUUGAAUAUAUUUUUAGAAUCCCAUCCCUAUUCUAUUUUUUUAAAUUAAAAAAAUGUUUUAAUGUUUACUUAUUUUUGAGAGAUAGAGAGAUACAUAGUGCGAAUGGGGAAGGGCAGAGAUAGAGGGAGACACAGAAUCUAAAACAGGCUCCAGGCUCUGAGCUGUCAGCACAGAGCCAGAUGCAGGGCUCAAACCCACAAACUGUGAGAUGAUGACCCAAGCUGACAUUGGAUGCUUAACCAACUGAGCUACCUAGGCACCCCUAAUUUUUUGUUUUUUAAGUAGGCUCCACACCCAUGUGGAGCCCUAUGCGGGGCUCAAACUCACGACCCCAAGAUUGAGACCUGAGUUGAAAUCAAGAAUCAGAUACUUAACCAACUGAGCCACCCAGGCACCCCUCCCAUUUCUGUUCUAAAUAAUCAUUUUUCAAUUUUUAGAACAUGUGUUUUUUGCUUUUUUAUAAAGUCACUCUGGCUGUGAAGAAGAGAUCAGAAAGUUAUAAGUUAGAAGGCUAAUGCCGUGGUCCACUGAUCAUUGAUGGUGACUGGGACCUAGGGCAUUAGGGUGCUAUAAUGAAAGUGGUGAUAAAUGGUCAUAUUUAGGAUAUAGGUUUGUUUUUUUUUUUUUUUUUGAGAGAAAGUGCAAGCAGGGGAGAGGCAGAGAGAGAGGGAGAGAGAAAGAGAAUCUUAAGCAGGCUCCAUGCCCAGCACAGAGCCCAAAGAGGCUCUGUCUCAUGUCCCAUGUCCAUGAGAUCAUGACCUGACCCAAAAUCAAGAGACAGACACACAAAUCAAGAGUUGGAUAUACUCAACUGACUGAGCCAUCCAGGUGCCCAUAGGACAUAUUUUAAAAAUGGACUUAACAAAACUUCGUUUUGGAUUUGUUGAUGUUGGGAUGUCAAGGAAAAAGAAGGGUCAAGGUUGAUUACUAAAUUUAGUCCUGAAUGAAUGAUCAUACCAAUAACAUAAUGGGGAAGAAGGAUGAAGAGUGGAUUUGGUAUUCUGUUUUCUAGAAGUUAAGUUUGAGAUGCCUCUUGGAUUUCAGAUGGAAAUAACAAGAAGGUGAUAUGAUAUAGUAAUAUAUACCUUAAAGGAGAAAUCAGGAUUGGAGAUAAUAUAAAUUUAAGAAUCAUUUGAUUAGGAGUGGGGUUGUAGCUGGCUGGGGCUCAGAGUUAAAAGAGCACCUGGCUCUAGGGGUCCCAAACAGGUAAGAUUCAGUUACUGGCUGUUGAGAAAAAUCCAAAGGCAGAGAGUGGUGGUGAAACAAGAAAGGAAUUUAUUUCAAUAAGGCCAACACCCAGAAGACAAUGGACUAAAAAAAAAAAAAAAAAAAAAAAAUCAUUUGCUCCCAAUAUUUAAAAAGAAAUGGCAGUUUUAAAAAGUGGAAUGAGGAGGGAGGGGCCAACAUCACAAAGUAGUAGGAGGAUCCGAACUUCCCUCUUCUCCCAGACAAAGAAGUGUUGAAGCCAAAGGACUUUGAAUCCCAAGAGUCUGGGAGGAAAAGAAACAGUCUUUUUCCCAGGAAUCCCCUGGAACAACCUGACUGGCCAUAGAUGCGUGAUUGCGAACUGGGAGAGAUAAAAUGAAUGGAGGGCAGGGAUCUGCUUCUGCAGAGAGACAAAAGGAAGAGAAAGAGUGGCUAGGGAAGUAUAGGACUGUAUCUGGACAAGAGAAAAAUCUUAGACCAGGACGGAGAAAGAUCAAAUCUCUAACUGUGGGGCUUGCUCCAGACUGGGGCUGGCUGGCCGGAAUGGCGUACCUGAGGAGAGGGGGAGCCAGCCCCGGGCUCAGUGGCUAGGUCAGGGAUGCAGUCCACAGUAGGAGAAAGCAAUCCCCUCCCUGGAGUGCUGUGGGACAGGACAAAGCCUGCUUGUUCCCGCCAGCCAGGGACCACAUAUCAGGUGGCGCAGAGAGGCGCUUCCCCUGUACCGGAACCCGGGGAGCAAGAAUUUGAAUCCCAGCCAAGUGCCAGGCAUAGGAGUUGGGGAAGCGAGACAAACUGCUUCAUUUACACCCGUGGCACAGUGAGGAUGGCUGAAACAGAGUGGUUUGGGACACCGGGUCUGUGGAGGAGAGACUGGGGGGGGGUCCCCAUUUUUCUCUUUAAACCACCAAGGUGAGGCCUCAGGGAUCAGACAGCAGGACCCACAGUGGAGGCGAGACCAGCCUACACCAAACCACGCCCCUCCGUGCCGGGUAACUGCAUAUCUACUGGGGCAGGGUAGACGCUGAGGAACCAGACAGCCCCUCCUCCAGACCUGCCCUGCUGCAUUGCCUGGUUUAAUGUAUGUAGAUACAUUGUUCCUUCCUUUUCUCUUUGUUAUCUCUUCCCUCUAGUCUGGUUACUCUGGUUGUUGGUUUGUUUCAGCAGACAUAUUUAACCCAUUCUCUUGAUACCUGUUCCACACCUCCUUCUUUAUUCUCCCUUCUCUGUCUUGAAUUAAGCUGUAUUGUUUCUCUCUGAACAAAUUUACCUUCUUUCAUUUUUCCCUGCCUUCUUCUUAAUUUUCCUUUCUCUCUCUCUGGAUUAAGCCAUAUAGUUUAUCUGUCUGGGUAACUUUCUUUUCUUUUUCUUUUUCCCCACCUCCUUCUUUAUUUUCCUUUCUCUCUCUCUGGAUUAAGCCAUAUAGUUUCUCUGGUGAAUUUUUAUUCUUUCUUCCCUCCCCCCGCCUCCCAUCAUUUCUUUGUAUGGGAUAAGGCCUCUUUCAUCAGCACUGCCUCCACCCUGUGGUUUACUUGUAGCUGGUGUUUCUGUUUUUUUGUUUGUCUUUUUUUGUUUGUGUGUUUGUGUGUUUUUGUUUUCUGUUUGUCUGUUUGUUUUCCUUUCCAGGGCUACUUCAACAAAUCAAAGCACACCUGGUGGAAGGUCCAAAGCAUCACCACAAGUAGGGAGACAAAGUAACCCAAGUCACAACAACAGACAGCAAGUAAUACUCUCCCAAAAACAUCUCCUGAAGGGCCACACCCUGGACAGUGUAUGACCCCUCUUUAAUAUAGUAGUGCUUGCAGGAGCAGGGCACAUAACAGCUUUUAAAAUACAUAAGGGACAGAAAACUAGCCAAAAUGGUGAAACGGAAGAAUUCUCCUCAAAAGAAAUUCCAGGAAGAAAUGACAGCUAAAGAAUUGAUCAAAACAGAUAUAAACAAUAUAACUGAACAAGAAUUGAGAAUAAUAGUCAUAAGAUUAAUCUCUGGGCUUGAAAAAGCAUAUAGGACAGCAGAGAAUCUAUUGCUGCAGAGAUCAAGGAACUAAAAAAUAGUAAUGAUAAAUUUAAAAAUGCUAUAAAUGAGGUGCAAAUUGAAAUAGAGGCAGUCACAAUGAGGAGAGAAGAAGCAGAGGGGAGAAUAGGUGAAUUAGAAGAUAAAAUUAUGGAAAAAGAGGAAGCUGAGAAAAAGAGAUAAAAAAAAUUCUAGAUCACAAGGGGAGAAUUAGAGAACUAAGUGAUUCAAUGAAACGGAACAAUAUCCGUAUCAUAGGAGUUCCAGAAGAAGAACAAGAGAGAAAGGGGCCAAAGGUAUACUUGAAUAAAUCAUAGCUGAGAACUUCCCCAGUCUGGGGAAGGAAACAAACACUGAAAUCCAGGAGGCACAAAGAACUCCCUUCAGACGUAACUUGAAUCGAUCUUAUGCACAGCAUGUCAUAGUGAAACUGGCAAAAUACAAAGAUAAAGAGAGAAUUCUGAAUGCAGCUAGGGAUAAACCAGCCUUAACAUACAAGGGUAGACACAUAAGGGUAGUAGCAGACCUAUCUACCGAAACUUGGCAGGCCCAAAAGGAGUGGCAAGAAAUUUUCAAUGUGAUGAACAGGAAAAAUAUGCAGCCAAGAAUCCUUUAUCCAGCAAGCCUGUCAUUCAGAAUAGAAGGAGAGAUAAAGGUUUUCCCAUACAAACAAAACUGAAGGAAUUCAUCAGUAAUAAACCAGCCCUACAAGAGAUCCUACGGGGGACUCUGUGAGUGAAAUGUUGCAUGGAUCACAAAGGACAAGAGACAUCACUACAAGUAUGAAACCUAUAGAUAACACAAUGACUUUAAACCCAUGUCUUUCAAUAAUAAUAAUGAGUGUAAAUGGACUAAAUGCUACAGUCGAAAGACACAGGGUAUCAGAAUGGAUUUAAAAAAAAAAGACCCAUCUAUUUGCUAUCUCCACGAGACCCAUUUUAGACCUGAGGACACCUUCAGAUUGAAAGUGAGGGGAUGGAGAACCAUCUAUCAUGCUACUGGAAGUCAAAACAAAGCUGGCAUAGCCAUACUUAUUUCAGACAAACUAGACUUUAAGUUAAAGGUUGUAACAAGAGAUGAAGAAGGGCAUUAUAUAGUAAUCACAGGGCCUAUCCAUCAGGAAGAGCUAACAAUUAUAAAUGUCUAUGCACCAAAUUCAGAAGCACCCAAAUAUAUAAAACAAUCACAAACAUAAGCAAUCUUAUUGGUAAGAAUGUGGUAAUUGCAGGGGACUUUAAUACUCCACUUACAGCAAUGGACAGAUCAUCUAGACAGAAAGUCAAUAAAGAAACAAUGGCCCUGAAUGAUAUACUGGACUAGAUGGUCUUGAUAGAUAUAUUUAGAACUUCUCAUCAUAAAGCAGAAUAUACAUUCCUCUCGAGUGCACAUGGAACAUUCUCCAAGAUAGAUCACAUACUGGGUCACAAAACAGUCCUCAAUAAAUAUAAAAGAAUUGAGACCAUACCAUGCACACGUUGAGAUCACAGUGCUAUGAAACUUAAAAUCAACCAUAAGAAAAAGUUUGGAAAGCCUCCAAAUGCAUGGAGGUUAAAGAACAUCCUACUAAAGAACAAAUGGGUCAACCAGGCAGUUAAAGAAGAAAUUUAAAAAAUAUAUGGAAACAAAUUAAAAUGAAAACACAACAAUCCAAAGCCUUUGGGAUGCAGCAAAGGCAGUCCUAAGAGGAAAAUACAUUGCAAUCCAGGCCUAUCUCAAGAAACAAGAAAAAUCCAAAAUACAAAAAUCUAAUAGCACACCUAAAGGAACUAGAAGCAGAACAGCAAAAACACCCCAAACCCAGCAGAAGAAGAGAAAUAAUAAAGAUCAGGGCAGAAAUAAACAAUAUAGAAUCAAAAAAACAAACAAACAACAGAUCAAUGAAACUAAGAGUUGGUUUUUUGAAAAAAUAAACAAAAUUGAUAAACCUCUAGCCAGGCUUCUCGAAAAGAAAAGAGAGAGGACAUAAGUAGAUAAAAUCACGAAUGAAAAUGGUGUUAUUACAACCAAUCUCUCAGAAAUACAAGCAAUUUAUCAGAGAAUACUAUGAAAAAUUAUAUGCCAACAAACUGGACAACUGGAAGAAAUGGACAAAUUCCUAAACACCCACACACCACCAAAACUCAAACUGGAAGAAAUAGAAAAUUUGAACAGACCUAUAACUAGUAAAGAAAUUGAAUCAGUUAUCAUAAAUCUCCCAACAAAUAAGAGCCCUGGACCAGAUGGCUUUCCUCAGGAAUUCUACUAGACAUUUAAAGCAGAGUUAAUACCUAUCCUUCUCAAGCUGUUCCAAAAAAUAGAAAUGGAAGGAAAACUUCUGGACUCAUUCUAUGAAGCCAGCAUUACUUUGAUUCCCAAGCCAGACAGAGACCCCACAAAAAAGGAGAACUACAGGCCAAUAUCCCUGAUGAACAUGGAUGCAAAAAUUCUCAACAAGGUAUCAGCAAAUCUAAUUCAACAACAUAUAAAAAGAGUUAUUCACCAUGAUCAAGUGGGAUUCAUUCCUGGGCUGCAGGGCUGGAUCAGUAUUCACAAAUCAAUCAAUGUGAUACAUCACCUUAAGAAAGGGUAAGAACCAUGUGAUCCUGUCAAUAGAUGCAGAAAAAGCAUUUGACAAAAUACAGCAUACUUUCUUAAUAAAAACCCUCAUGAAAUUCGGGAUAGAAGGAACAUACUUAAACAUCAUAAAAGCCAUAUAUGAAAAGCCCACAGCUAAUAUCAUCCUCAAUGGAGAAAAACUGAGAGCUUUUCCCCUGAUCAGGAACUCAACAGGGAUGUCCACUCUCAUCGCUGUUGUUUUUUUUUUUGUUGGAAGUCCUAGCAUAGCAGUCAGACAACAAAAUGAAAUAAAAGGCAUCAAAAUUGGCAAAGAAGAAGUCAAACUUUCACGUUUUGCAGAUGACAUGAUACUCUACAUGGAAAACCUGAAAGACUCCACCAAAAAACUUCUAGAACUGAUACAUUAAUUCAGCAAAUUCGCAGGGUACAAAAUCAGUGUACAGAAAUCAGUUGUGUUUUUAUACACCAAUAAUGAAGCAACAGAAAGAGAAAUCAAGAAAUCCAUCCCAUUUACAAUUGCACCAAGAACCAUAAAAUACCUAGGAAUAAACCUAACCAAAGAUGUAAAACAUCUUUGAAACUGCUGAAAACUAUAGAAAGCUUAUGAAGGAAGUUGAAGAAGACACAAAGAAAUGGAAAAGCAUUCCAUAUGCUUGGGAAUGCAAGCUGGUGCAGCCACUCUGGAAAACAGUAUGGAGGUUCUUCAAAAAACUAAAAAUAGAACUACCCUACAACCCAGCAAUUGCACUACUAGGCAUUUAUCCAAGAGAUACAGUGUGCUGUUUCAAAGGGACACAUGCACCGCCAUGUUUAUAGCAGCACUACUAACAAUAGCCAAAUUAUGGAAAGAGCCCAGAUAUCCAUCGAUGGAUGAAUGGAUAAAGAAGAAGUGGUAUAUACAUACAAUGGAGUAUUACUCAGCAAUCAAAAAGAAUGAAAUCUUGCCAGUUGCAACUGCGUGGAUGGAGCUGGAGGGUAUUACGCUAAGUGAAAUCAGUCAGUCAGAGAAAGACAAAAAUCAUAUGAUUUUACUCAUAUGAGGACUUUAAGAGACAAACAGAUGAACAUAAGAGAAGGGAAACAAAAAUAGUAUAAAAACAGGGAGGGGAACAAAACAGAAGAGAUUCAUAAGUAUGGAGAACAAACUGAGGGUUAUGGGAGGGGUUGUGGGAGGGAGGAUGGAGUAAAUGAGCAAGGGGCACUAAGGAAUCUACUCCUGAAAUCAUUGUUGCACUACAUGCUAAUUUGUAUGUAAAAUUUUAAAAAUAAAAAAUUAAAUAAAAAAAAAUAUCCCAUAUGCUCAUGGAUUGGAAGAAUAAAUAUUGUUAAAACGGCAAUACUACCCAAAGCAAUCUAUACAUUCAGUGUAAUCCCAAUCAAAAUUGCACCCACAUUAUGCUCAAAGCUAGAACAAAGAAUCCUAAAAUUUGUUUGGAACCACAAAAGACCCUGAAUAGCCAAAGUAAUACUGAAGAAGAAAACCAAAGCGGGAGGCAUCACAAUGCCAGACCUUAGCCUCUAAUACAAAGUUGUAAUCAUCAAGACAAUAUGGUAUUGGCACAAAAACAGACACAUAGACCAGUGGAAUAGAAUAGAGAACGCAGAAUUGGACCCACAAGUAUAUGGCCAACUAAUCUUUGGCAAAUCAGGAAAGAGUAUCCAUUGGAGAAAAGACAGUCUCUUUACAAAUGGUGCUAGGAGAACUGGACAGGAACAUGUAGAAGAAUGAAACUAGACCACUUUCUUACACUGUAUACAAAAAUAAACUCAAAAUAGAUGAAAAACCUAGAUCUGAGACAGAAAACCAUCAAAACCCUAGAAGAGAAAGCAGGCAACAACUUCUUUGACCUCAGCUGCAGCAAUUUCUUACUUGACACAUCUCCAAAGGCAAGGGAACUAAAAGCAAAAAUGAACUAUUGGGACCUCAUCAAGAUAAAAAGCUCCUGUACUGCAAAGGAAACAGUCAACGAAACUAAAAGGCAACUGAUGGAUUGGGGAAAGAUAUUUGCAAAUGAAAAUCGGAUAAAGGGUUAGUAUCCAAAAUCUCUAAAGAACUCACCAAACUCCACACCCAAAAAACAAAUAAUCCAGUGAAGAAAUGGGCAGAAGACAUGAAUAGACACCUCUCUAAAGAAGACAUCCAGAUGGCCAACAGACACAUGAAAGGAUGCUCAACUUCACUCAUCAGGGAAAUGCAAAUCAAAGGCACACUGAGAUACCACCUCACACUGGUCAGAAUGGCUAAAAUGAACAAAUCAGGAAACUGUAGAUGCUGGCAAGGAUGUGGAGAAAUGGGAACCCUCUUGCACUGUUGGUGGGAAUGCAAACUGGUGCAGCUGCUCUGGAAAACAGUGUGGAGGUUCCUCAAAAAAUUCAAAGUAGAACUCCAUGACCCAGCAAUAGCACUGCUAGGAAUUUACCUAAGGGGUACAGGAGUGCUGAUGCAUAGGGGCACAUGUACCCCAAUGUUUAUAGCAGCGCUUUCAACAAUAGCCAAAUUAUGCAAAGAACCUAAAUGUUCAUCAACUGAUGAAUGGAUGAAGAAGAUGUGGUUUAUAUGUACAAUGGAAUACUACUUGACAACGUAAGAGAAUAAAAUCAUGCGAUUUGCAGCAAUGUGGAUGCAACUGGAGGGUAUUGUGCUAAAUGAAAUAAGUCAGAGAAAGAUAUCUUACGAUUUUACUCAUACGUGGAUCUUGAGAAACUUAACACAAGACCACGGAUGAAGGGAAGGAGAAAAAAUAGAGAGGGAAGGAGGCAAACCAUGAGAGACUCUUAAAAACUGAGAACAGGGGCGCCUGGGUGGCGCAGUCGGUUAAGCGUCCGACUUCAGCCAGGUCACGAUCUCACGGUCUGUGAGUUCGAGCCCCGCGUCAGGCUCUGGGCUGAUGGCUCGGAGCCUGGAGCCUGUUUCCGAUUCUGUGUCUCCCUCUCUCUCUGCCCCU